Molecule: long non-coding RNA, 1395 nt
Filed under: Anolis carolinensis (green anole)
Lineage: Eukaryota; Metazoa; Chordata; Lepidosauria; Squamata; Anolidae
Description: lncRNA (ENSACAG00000037118.1)
Source: RNAcentral
UCCAGUAGCACCAGUAGCCAAGGUAUCAUCAUAUGAACUAACAAUAUCUGCACAAGCAUAGUCAAAGGGCAAGAGGUCUUCCCAAAACAUUACACCAAUAUGCUCAAGAGGAGGUAGCUUUAGAUGUCACAUGGACAUGUGAUUGUUUCAGUUUUUAUAGUUGGUUUAUCUUUCAAACUCUUUGCUGGAUUCAAAAUGACAAGAUAAUCUUACUUCUAGGAUUCAGAUGUAUAGGCUAUGUUUAAUUAGCUCUCUUUCACAACAACAGUGAAUGUAUGCCAUUAUGUUAGGAAGUGGGGAAAGAAUCCAGUGGGGGACAGUUUAAUAUCAAGAUCUCCCAAUAAGCAAUCAUGAAGAAAAAGCCUUGGACAUAAGUGUUAACUUGUGUAUUAACCUUACUCAGAUAGUAGUGUCCAACAUCAACAGGGUGACUACAGCAAAUCAGAGAGAGCGAGAGAGCAAUAAUUUUCUUAACCUUGUCAGAAAAUAGUCCAUCUUUGUCAACAGGGAGGCAAUCUCUGUAGCAUCGAAUACUUUGUUGCCAGGACCGAAAUGAAUAAUACAUGAAACACAGUGUCAGCAGAGACCAGGCAAAGCAGCAGAAGACAUUUGAAAAAUGUCAUAAAAAUCCACCCAGACACAAUUUUUUGAGAAAAAGAAAAUAUAUGGUAAGAGCUAUUCAGCAGUGGAAUAUGUUGCUUUGAAGACUGAAGUCUCUUUCUCUGGAAGCUUGUAACCAAUGGCUGAUAGCCAUCUCUUGGGAGUGUUUUGAUUGUAUUUUCCUACACAACAGGGAGUUGGACAGGGUGGGCUUUGUGGUCUCUUCCAACUCUAUGAUUCUAUUAUUCUUUGGUAAUGUUGUUCAAUCAGAUGAUAUAUUGGUGCUCUAUGAGAUAGAAUUUGACAUAUACAGUAUGUAUUGUUUGUUUCCCAUUUUUUAAGGUUGUGCACUUUUCAUAUUUGAAUCAUUGAGAUACUUUGCAUGCAAAGCACAGGGGGACCAAAUGGCUGACAAAAAGAGAAAAGAAAUAUUCUAACAACCAACCUGAAAAGCUCAGCUUCCAGCAAUUUCCUUGUAGCAAUUGGGAUUUUGCUAGAGAGAGCCAUCUCAAGAUUGCCAUUUAAACCUGCUGAUUAAAACACAAUAUAUAACAUGGACCGAUGACUGGUUUUAUUCUCUACUUUAUUGUUUCUAAUCCACAUUAUGACUUGACAAAGGGAUCCCCUAACCUUUGAUGGUAACAUUAGCCUGAGCUUCUUUAGACAAAGAUGAAUGUGAUGAAAUUUUGGCAGCCACUCUCAAAUUUGGAAAAAAAAUAAUAGAUUUAAGUCAUGCAUUCCUAUUGAGAAAGCCUUCUACUUUGCAUUAAAUUAUCCCUAAGUUAUUCCCCAUCU